CCAAGCUGGAACUGAAGCUGCCUGAGAGUAAUACAGUGGUUCAGAUUCCAAAGAGGAGGAAGAAGAGCCAGAGAAGGCAGGGAGUUGGCAGACAUAGUCCUUAAGAUAGGAGGGAGGAUUAUGUGUCCUGGUAGAUUUUCUGAAAACAGGAGCAGAAGGAGAGGAAGGCAAAAUAGGAGGUGAAGGAAGAAUAGGAUCAAAAGAAGGUGGAGGGACAGAGGAGGGAGAAUCAGGGAGAUCAUCAUUUUCUCCAGAAGGCAAGGAAGAAA
This 269-nucleotide long non-coding RNA is filed under the name Nicotiana benthamiana. RNAcentral's name for it is "long non-coding RNA (NBEN_LNC012813)". The record is from RNAcentral. Lineage: Eukaryota; Viridiplantae; Streptophyta; Magnoliopsida; Solanales; Solanaceae.